RNAcentral lists this ribosomal RNA (922 nucleotides) under Aptostichus atomarius. RNAcentral's name for it is "partial 16S ribosomal RNA". The record is from RNAcentral. Lineage: Eukaryota; Metazoa; Arthropoda; Arachnida; Araneae; Euctenizidae.
AAUUCAACAUCGAGGUCAUAAUCUUCUUCUUUUAUAAGGACUUAAGGAAGAAAUUGUGCUGUUAUCCCUACGGUAGCAUUGGUGGAAUCUCAGUUUGAGGAUAAAAGGGGGAAAGGAACAAAGAUUUGGUUUUUUACCGCCCCAGUAAAACAGAAGUAAAGUUCGAUAGGGUCUUGUCGUCCUUCUUAUAAAUACAAGUUUUUUUACUUGAGUGAAAAAUUAGAAAAGUCGGGGUAAUAAAGAAAUUUAUAUGUCAGACCUUUCAUUCUAGCCUCUAAUUAGAAGGCAAAUGAUUAUGCUACCUUAGCACAAGUUAAUUGCGGCUAUUUAAAGAUCAUUGAGCAGGUCCUACUGAAUAUUAGUUCAUUCAGAAAUGUUUUUGAUAAACAGACAAUAAAGAUUGGCCGAGUUCAUGAAUCUAGAUUUAAAUAAAAUUGCAAUGAGACGUUAUUUAAAGGAAUAGGUUAAGCAGAUUUUACUAAUAAAAUCAUUAUGAUAAUUUUUAGGAGGUUUUCUUUUAAGAAAAGUUUGGGGGGCAUAAAGGAGAAGUUUGGAAACUAAGGGGACACUAUUAAUCCUUGGGUUAGAAUAAUUAAUAAUGUGCAACUUGUUUAAAAGAUUAUCCCUUUAAAAAUUCUAGUACUCUUACUUUUAAAAAAAACCAGAUAUAUUGGAAUGCGGGUGGAAUUUCAUCUCUAUUUUUCUUUUUGUAAAGUUUUAUGCCACAAACUUGAACAGGAAAAAUAGAUCAUUUCAAUUUCGGGAGCAUUUUUUAAAAAGUAAAGGUUGAAUUUCCCUGAUACUAAAGGUACAUUUAUUUUCUAUUUUACGAAUGAUUAAUAUCCCUCACGGUAAAAGUAGAAAUGGAAAUAAACACAAAGCAAAAAAAUAUUUUUUUAGGCAAAGAUUAAAAUGGGAGGUU